CCUACGGGUGGCAGCAGUGAGGAAUAUUGGUCAAUGGGCGGGAGCCUGAACCAGCCAAGUCGCGUGAGGGAAGACGGUCCUAUGGAUUGUAAACCUCUUUAGGCGGGGAGCAAUGCCGGGCACGCGUGCCCGGAGGGAGAGUACCCGCAGAAUAAGCAUCGGCUAACUCCGUGCCAGCAGCCGCGGUAGUACGGAGGAUGCGAGCGUUAUCCGGAUUUAUUGGGUGUAAAGGGUGCGUAGGCGGAGUUUUAAGUCAGCGGUAAAAUGUCCGGGCUCAACCCGGGCCGGCCGUUGAAACUGGGGAUCUUGAGUGGGCGAGAAGUAUGCGGAAUGCGUGGUGUAGCGGUGAAAUGCAUGGAUAUUAGGAGGAACACCAGUGGCGAAGGCGGUCUGCUGGACAGCAACUGACGGUGAGGCGCGAAAGCGUGGGGAGCAAACAGGAUUAGAUACCCUUGUAGUC
RNAcentral lists this ribosomal RNA (460 nucleotides) under uncultured bacterium. Its description in RNAcentral is "partial 16S ribosomal RNA". It matches the Rfam family "Bacterial small subunit ribosomal RNA", at positions 338 to 795 of the family's 1533-position model. The record is from RNAcentral.